This is a non-coding RNA of Cherax quadricarinatus, 1233 nucleotides long. The record is from RefSeq and is a predicted model, not a curated record. Lineage: Eukaryota; Metazoa; Arthropoda; Malacostraca; Decapoda; Parastacidae.
CAAGACUCAACAUGGAACGUGACUGACUAAACAACAAACCCCUAGACUAACUUUCGACCAACAGAGGCAAUAAGCACAGCUUGCUUAACAGUAGAGCGUCCAGUUCAUCAAACAGCAAAAUGUAUAAAGCAGCCGUGAGCAGCACAGCACCAUACAAGGAAGGAGACGUAGAAACAAUCCUGAGGGCAAUCGACAAGUCCUCCAUAGAAGGCAAAAAUACUCCCAAAUUAUUGAAUCUUAGCUCAGCAUCUUCCAGACUCCGACUACGACUGUGUGUAGAUGCCAGCCAGAACAAGAAAGCCGAGUCUACAUGACAUUGGAGAGAAGAGCUGCCUCGAUGAUGUCCAGCCAAGAAGAGCUCUACUGAAGCAGCGGCUGCAAGUGAUACUUUCCUGGCUUGCCUCACAUCCCGGAAAGCAAACAAGUGAACAAGUAGUGUGGAGAACUAAUCAAAACUCUUGAAAUUGCCAGAACAGAACGUAUAAUUAAUGUGAAAUUUCGAGUGAGGGGGUACGGAGAAGAGCCGGGGGGAGUGACGCUGCAGAGACGCAGUAUUGAAUUUAACGUGUGAGCACUGGACUGAAUUGUGUAAUGUAAUCAGGCAUUCUUGAAGGUCAAUUAGUGUAUGUCGGCCCCAAUCUAUAAUUCAGAAAUUGCUGACACGUUCCUGUUGAAGAAUUGGGAUAAAUUGUGUGGAAAGCCCUUACAACUCGGCAACCAGGACGAAAAAAUAGAGGACUUCAAUGAAUCCUUCCCAACAACACCCCUUAGCUAAGUGACGCUUAUCUAUAAAGUACAGUGGAUUCUGCGUUGGAAAUCGUAAAUCCUAGCUGUAGAGGUAGCAUUAGGGUGUUUUUUUCCAUAAAAUAGUUAUGAUCCAGUAAUUAAAUGAUAAGUGUUAAUAAGAAUUUCCUUUCCAAUAACACUAAUAAUUUAUGUAUAAUUAUGUUGUGUACCCAGCAAGCCUAAUCAUGUACAGCCCACACAACUUUAAUUUACCAGGGUAGCUGGUUUUAAUAUUAUAAUUAUUAACUUAAUGUCAGGUCUAGUUUUUUGAGUGGUGAAGAAGUGAGCAUCGAGGGAGUUACAGUUCAGCUGCCUGCUGUGACUAAAGUCCCACUUACCUCACUCAAAAUACUUGCAGGAGAGCUGCAACGUUACAGUGUUCCGAAUCCUCCGGGUGAUCUUCCAUGUGAGCAGUGAUAUCUACCUUCCAAAUUUCUCAAGUGAGAA